Long non-coding RNA from Bos taurus (domestic cattle), 863 nucleotides. NCBI's taxonomy places the organism in Eukaryota, Metazoa, Chordata, Mammalia, Artiodactyla, Bovidae. The record is from Ensembl.
CUCCUCAUUUGCACAAGUGGGAUUAUAGUUGCACCUCCCAGGAUUGUUGUGAAAGUGACAGAAAGAAUGUAUGUAAAUUGCUUAGCAUGCCUAGUACAUAGUGCUGCUGCUAAGUCACUUCAGUUGUGUCUGAUUCUGCGACCCCAUAGAUGGCAGCCCACCAGGCUCCCCCGUCCCUGGGAUUCUCCAGGUGAUUCUAAGGUACAUCAGGCUUUUAGAAUGACAAUCCAGAAAGCAAGGGAGCAUUGCCAGGACAAGUCAGGAGCGAGGAUAGCAGUUAAAGAAGCGUAUUCCUAUUAAGGAAGGGUACUGUCAUCAUUAUCUCCAGCGCAGACGAGGACACUUACACGCCCUUUAACGAGGCUUACGGAUCCUUAGUUUUGCAAGUACCUAACCUACAGAGUGUGUGAGCAGCAGAGCCAGCAUUCAAUGGAAAGAGGGAGGAAAGUCUUUCUGAUUCCACCUGUGUCUGCUGCUUUCCUGCCAUCUCUUCAACAGAUUUGUCCCACUGUUGCAAACAUAAGCUGGUAAUACACAAACGCGUAGUCAGAACAAAAAAUUUAAAAAGACAGAACAAAUCCCAUCUGGGCAUUGAUCUGUAUCUCUGGAAUUCAGCGUGGUGUUCUCUCUCAUUUUGGCCAUGCAGACCUUCCAUGGCUUGCUUUUCGCUUCUCUGGUGCCAACGCUGUUUUUGACAAUUGUUUAACGUCCUAUAUGCAUUAAAGACUUUUUCUUUUUUAAAAAAUCUUUAUUGGAGUAUAACUGAUUUACAAUGUUGUGUUAGUUUCAGGUGUACAGCAAAGUGAAUCUGCUAUCCAUACACACAUAUCCACUCUCGUUUAGAUUAUUUUCCCGUGUAGACC